UCUACUCCCGUAAAGAACUGCCACAGCACAAAGACAGUAUGAAUGUUCUAGGAAAAUCAAUCAAACCUACAUUUGAAGAGCUACAAAUUGAUGAAAAUGCCAAAAAAAGUGAUGUUGUUCAGUUACAAGUCGUAGAGAAAUUAGCGGACAAUGAUAUUCUUGGUGUUUAUUAUGAUUAUCUCAAGCUCAAGGACAUAAAUGCCAGUGAAUUAUUGAAGUCAAGGCAUAUGGAAAUAGAUUAUCUUCAAUCUAUUAUUACCAAAGCCGGAAAUGCAUUAUCUAUUGAGCAUAUCAAUAAUCAGGUAUGCAUGGAAAUUCUAUUCUUUCUUUUGGAUUAGAGAGAAAAAAGAUUGUUUUUGCCUAAAAAGAUUAAAUUUUGCAGAUAUGUGACCUAGAAAAUAAGAUAAAACAUGAUGUUCUUGCAUUGGAGGUAAGGAAAAAGCUCAAGCGUGAAAUCUCUCGACUGAGCCAACGUCGCGAAAAAUUAUCUUCUUCUUCUUUCUUUGAUAUCAAAGACGAAGAUGGAAUCAGGCAGUAUCGUGAAGUGAGAGACGAGGCCGAAGAUUUUUUAAAGGUUGUUUCACGCAAGGAGCUUGAUAUAUUGAAUGAGAGUUCCAUAAAAGCUAAAGCAGCUGUUACGGAAUUCAAGAAAAAAUGUGAUGAUGCUGCUGAACAAGUGGAAAAACUCCAAGCCAAUUACAUAGCUGCCUCUGAUGUUUGCAUAGAAGCAAUUGCUAUCAAGGAUAAUAUGAAAAAAAAAAUAUUGUGACAAGAUUGCAUUGCUUGGCCACUGCUUGUCGGAUGCAUAUGCAUGAUAAUACUCAAACUUAAAGAUUUGAGUUGAUGUGUAUUUCUCAUUCAUAGUACUAUUAUUCUAUGAUUAAGUACUAUGAUGAUCUAAAUCAUGUAUAUAGGCAUGAGGCCUACAUCGAGUACACAAAUUCAAGUUAUAAACCUCAUAUAUGUACUCGAAAAGAUUAUUCGUUGGUGAUUCAAUAAUAUGAAAAAAAAUAUAUCACGAGGUUUG
This is a non-coding RNA of Erythranthe guttata (spotted monkey flower), 1027 nucleotides long. The record is from RefSeq and is a predicted model, not a curated record. NCBI's taxonomy places the organism in Eukaryota, Viridiplantae, Streptophyta, Magnoliopsida, Lamiales, Phrymaceae.